CCCUAUUCCCCAUAUACAGUAUAGUGCACUACUUAGGCACCCUAUUCCCUAUAUACAGUAUAGUGCACUACUUAGGCACCCUAUUCCCUAUAUACAGUAUAGUGCACUACUUAGGCACCCUAUUCCCUAUAUACAGUAUAGUGCACUACUUAGGCACCCUAUUCCCUAUAUACAUUAUAGUGCACUACUUAGGCACCCUAUUCCCUAUAUACAGUAUAGUGCACUACUUAGGCACCCUAUUCCCUAUACACAGUAUAGUGCACUACUUAGGCACCCUAUUCCCUAUAUACAGUAUAGUGCACUACUUAAGCACCCUAUUCCCUAUAUACAGUAUAGUGCACUACUUAGGCACCCUAUUCCCCAUAUACAGUAUAGUGCACUACUUAGGCACCCUAUUCCCCAUAUACAGUAUAGUGCA
This is a long non-coding RNA of Oncorhynchus tshawytscha (Chinook salmon), 418 nucleotides long. The record is from Ensembl. Lineage: Eukaryota; Metazoa; Chordata; Actinopteri; Salmoniformes; Salmonidae.